Molecule: ribosomal RNA, 428 nt
Filed under: uncultured bacterium
Lineage: Bacteria
Description: partial 16S ribosomal RNA
Rfam family: Bacterial small subunit ribosomal RNA
Source: RNAcentral
GUAGGGAAUAUUGCACAAUGGGGGAAACCCUGAUGCAGCGACGCCGCGUGAGUGAUGAAGGCCUUCGGGUCGUAAAGCUCUGUCGUAUGGGACUAACACAAUGAAGGUACCAUGCAAGAAAGGAUCGGCUAACUUCGUGCCAGCAGCCGCGGUAAGACGAGGGAUCCUAGCGUUGUUCGGUAUCAUUGGGCGUAAAGCGGGUGUAGGCGGAUUUAUAAGUCAGGUGUGAAAUCCCAGGGCUCAACCCUGGAAGUGCACUUGAUACUGUAAAUCUUGAGUGUGGUAGAGGUUACUGGAAUUGUUGGUGUAGUGGUGAAAUACGUAGAUAUCAACAGGAAUACCGGAGGCGAAGGCGAGUAACUGGGCCAACACUGACGCUGAGACCCGAAAGCGUGGGGAUCAAACAGGAUUAGAUACCCGUGUAGUCC